GAUGAACGCUAGCGGCAGGCCUAACACAUGCAAGUCGAGGGGCAGCACAUAAAGUGGUUUACUACUUUUGGUGGCGACCGGCGGACGGGUGCGUAACGCGUAUGCAACCUGCCUCCAACAGGGGGAUAACGGAGAGAAAUUUCCACUAAUACCCCAUAAUAUCAGAAUCGGCAUCGGUUUUGGUUGAAAACUCCGGUGGUUGGAGAUGGGCAUGCGUUGUAUUAGAUAGUUGGUGAGAUAACGGCUCACCAAGUCAACGAUACAUAGGGGGACUGCGAGGUUAGCCCCCCACACUGGUACUGAGACACGGACCAGACUCCUACGGGAGGCAGCAGUGAGGAAUAUUGGUCAAUGGGGGCAACCCUGAACCAGCCAUGCCGCGUGCAGGAAGACGGCUCUAUGAGUUGUAAACUGCUUUUACAAGGGGAUAAAUCGGUGUACGUGUACACCGUUGAAGGUACCUUGGGAAUAAGGAUCGGCUAACUCCGUGCCAGCAGCCGCCGUAA
RNAcentral lists this ribosomal RNA (506 nucleotides) under uncultured bacterium. RNAcentral's name for it is "partial 16S ribosomal RNA". It matches the Rfam family "Bacterial small subunit ribosomal RNA", at positions 28 to 523 of the family's 1533-position model. The record is from RNAcentral.